RNAcentral lists this ribosomal RNA (570 nucleotides) under fungal endophyte. RNAcentral describes it as "eukaryotic LSU rRNA". The stretch from base 177 to 330 matches the Rfam family "5.8S ribosomal RNA". The record is from RNAcentral. Lineage: Eukaryota; Fungi.
UUCACUCCCAAACCCAAUGUGAACCAUACCAAACUGUUGCCUCGGCGGGGUCACGCCCCGGGUGCGUCGCAGCCCCGGAACCAGGCGCCCGCCGGAGGGACCAACCAAACUCUUUCUGUAGUCCCCUCGCGGACGUUAUUUCUUACAGCUCUGAGCAAAAAUUCAAAAUGAAUCAAAACUUUCAACAACGGAUCUCUUGGUUCUGGCAUCGAUGAAGAACGCAGCGAAAUGCGAUAAGUAAUGUGAAUUGCAGAAUUCAGUGAAUCAUCGAAUCUUUGAACGCACAUUGCGCCCGCCAGUAUUCUGGCGGGCAUGCCUGUCCGAGCGUCAUUUCAACCCUCGAACCCCUCCGGGGGGUCGGCGUUGGGGACUUCGGGAACCCCUAAGACGGGAUCCCGGCCCCGAAAUACAGUGGCGGUCUCGCCGCAGCCUCUCCUGCGCAGUAGUUUGCACAACUCGCACCGGGAGCGCGGCGCGUCCACGUCCGUAAAACACCCAACUUCUGAAAUGUUGACCUCGGAUCAGGUAGGAAUACCCGCUGAACUUAAGCAUAUCAAUAAGCCGGAGGAA